This is a long non-coding RNA of Mya arenaria, 1107 nucleotides long. RefSeq lists it as uncharacterized. The record is from RefSeq and is a predicted model, not a curated record. NCBI's taxonomy places the organism in Eukaryota, Metazoa, Mollusca, Bivalvia, Myida, Myidae. The transcript has 4 exons.
GGGUGUAGUUUUUAAAGUCAUACACAAUAUGGCGGCGAUUAUGCGGAAAUGAAAUUGAAUGUUACUUCGAACAGGUUCCUCUACAAAAUAACCGACCUGUAUUUAGUGUUAUUGCUUCAACAUCAAUCAAAAGAAAAAUGGCAUCAAUGUAUGCGUCUAAAAAUGUUAAAUUUAGAUGGAGACAAUCCAGAAAUGAGCUGCCAGGAAGUGAUCGAUUUCGGACACGAAGAUUGUGCCUGGAUACAAGGCUAGUAUUGUUAACAUCAUCUGAUACAAUCAACUGGAACAAAGCUGAAAUGGCUGCCUGACCUGACUUAAAAAUCGGAUGGCAAUACAUCAGACUAGAAGAUUAUUAGUAUUGAGAUGGACAAAAUGAAACAUGAGCCUACCAAAGCUGACAGAUUGCACAAGAAACACAUAAAUGCAGAUUGGAGGAUUCAUUCUCUGGAAAAUAGAAAAGGGCAUGUUACAUACUGUUAUCAUUGCCAUGACAGAAACCAUAUUGAGGAGCUGGUCCACCUGUAGGAAGAAUUGCGCUGGUUGGAGCAGCACUAUUCCCCAGCCAUACACCAGCACUUAGUUUGUCAUAGGGAGCAUUUCUGAGCAGUUAUGGAGACCACUAACUUUGCAGUUGUUGCAGUGAAACUUGCACCAGUGUGUUUUCUGUGGAAAUAAAGAGAUAGUGUCCAGCAAUGAAGACCCAACUCAAGAUCUGACCUUGUAAGGCCAAUAUGAAAUAACUGUGUGGAAAAAUGGGAAAAACCUGCAGUCAGGAAUGCACGGAAAUCAUCAAAAGAACAGUGUUAAAUUAAUCUUAAAUAACUUGACAUUUAUUUUGUUUGACAUAUUUAUUCAUGGUGCAGUGAAAACAUGUUGUUUUUUCCUCAUGGUUAUUUAAAUUUAGAAUUGAUAGGAGGGAACAUCAUUAUGUAGUUUCAUGUUCAUAGUCAGAUCAAAACCCAUGUACAUGUAUAAAUGAGCAUUCGAAAAUAUCAAAAUGGAACUUGUUGUAUGUAGUGUAAGUUAAUUAACAUAAUAAACAAAAAUAUUUAAUAAAUUUCAAUUUAUUAUGCCCCCUUCAAAGAAGAGGUGUAUAUUGCUUUGCAC